RNAcentral lists this long non-coding RNA (940 nucleotides) under Sus scrofa (pig). RNAcentral describes it as "lncRNA (ENSSSCG00015040303.1)". Lineage: Eukaryota; Metazoa; Chordata; Mammalia; Artiodactyla; Suidae. The record is from RNAcentral.
GGACAUGGCAUGGAACGUGUGUGCGGAAAAGUUCGAACAUCAAGUGACCCUUGAAGCGCUACAACACUUAAAUGCACUCUUUCAGGAGUAUGAGAAAAGAGGAAGACAGCUGUUGGAUAUGGAGACUUUCAAAUGCAUAAUGAAGCAGAGCAUGAGGUUACAGAAUAAAAGUACUGAACAAAUAGAACAACUUUUCAUGAAAAUAGACUAUGAAGCAGUGGGCAGAAUUCAUUGGGAUGGCUUCUGCACAUAUCUGCAGUUAGCAUAUUCAGAGCAAGCUGAUGCUUUGGCUCGACAGAAAGAGGUUUCCUUCCAGCUGCCUGCUGUGCUGCAGGGACUGUCGUACGGGGGACCCGUGCUGCGCAUUCUCUCUGUGCCUGAUGACACCUUAAUCAUGAUCAGAGAAGAUGGAGCCAUUUAUUUCUGGUCCCUGCAGCUGAAGUUGAAAAGAAGAAAGCGAGUUUUUGACAAGCCCAUCAUUCGGAAGCGCCGGUGGGUGACGGAUGCCACCAGCAUGCCACAGUACAACAAACUGAUCCUAGGAACUGGAAACCGCGAAAUCCAGCUGUAUGAGUUCUCUAACUUGGAGCCUUACUGUCAGAUUGGUGGCCUGGAAGCUGUCCCUCUGAAACUGGACUACUGGUACGAGGAUCCUGACAAGUGCCUGAUUCUCUAUGGUGAUGACCAGGGAUGUGUGAACAUUCUGUUUUUGGCUUCUGUCGGUGAACUAUUAAGGGGACGUCACACCCCAGGUCCCUCUCAUGGGGGAGGUCACACUCCAGAUCCCUUUCAGAGGAAGUCACAUACCACACCUCCCAUCCUCAGGGAAGAAGUCACUCCAGGUCAAGUGUGCUGUUACUCUUGGUGGCUGAGGGUCCCCAGGAGGCAGCCGUCUCAGUCCUAUCACAGUGACACUCUGGAGCCAGAAGCAUGGAGGUGA